GAUGAAGAACGUAGCGAAAUGCGAUAAGUAAUGUGAAUUGCAGAAUUCAGUGAAUCAUCGAAUCUUUGAACGCACAUUGCGCCCCUUGGUAUUCCGGGGGGCAUGCCUGUUCGAGCGUCAUUAUAACCCCUCAAGCUCAGCUUGGUGUUGGGGCCUGCCAACUGGCAGCCCUUAAAAUCAGUGGCGGCGCCAUCUGGCUCUAAGCGUAGUAAUUUCUCUCGCUAUAGGGUCCCGGUGGAUGCUUGCCAACAACCCCCAAUUUUCUAUGGUUGACCUCGGAUCAGGUAGGGAUACCCGCUGAACUUAAGCAUAUCAAUAAGCGGAGGA
RNAcentral lists this unclassified non-coding RNA (327 nucleotides) under soil metagenome. Its description in RNAcentral is "partial contains 5.8S ribosomal RNA, internal transcribed spacer 2, and large subunit ribosomal RNA". The stretch from base 1 to 120 matches the Rfam family "5.8S ribosomal RNA", at positions 35 to 154 of the family's 154-position model. The record is from RNAcentral.